GGGGAUGUGGCUCAAGCGGUAGUGCGCUCUCCUGGCAUGUGCGUGGCCUGAGUUCGAUCCUCAGCACCACA
Molecule: transfer RNA, 71 nt
Filed under: Marmota monax (woodchuck)
Lineage: Eukaryota; Metazoa; Chordata; Mammalia; Rodentia; Sciuridae
Description: tRNA.Ala
Source: RNAcentral